GCGACAGAAGCUGAAACAUUAGCGUCGGUCUUGUAAGCCGAAAGUUGGAAACGUCUUCCCUGUCGCA
This 67-nucleotide transfer RNA is filed under the name Calliotropis micraulax. RNAcentral's name for it is "tRNA-Thr". Lineage: Eukaryota; Metazoa; Mollusca; Gastropoda; Seguenziida; Calliotropidae. The record is from RNAcentral.